Non-coding RNA from Pelobates cultripes (western spadefoot toad), 207 nucleotides. NCBI's taxonomy places the organism in Eukaryota, Metazoa, Chordata, Amphibia, Anura, Pelobatidae. The record is from the annotation of a GenBank genome assembly.
CUGUAGCGAUCACAUGGCCCUGGAGGACUGAAAUGGAAGCGGGAGGGGACUGCCUGUCUCAAGAGGCAUUCCUUCCCGGACCGGGAUUGCCGGUCCAGGUAAGUCUGCAGAGACAGGCUCACUAAAUGCGGGGAGGCAUAGUUCGCCAUUACGGGGGUUAAAUAGCCAAUACUAGCCACUCCCAUCCCUCCAGGCUCCGGACUUUAU